GCCGCAGAUGCUGCAGUCCAGGAAGUAGCCGCAGGUCGUUGAUGGUCACCCCGGCGAAGUUGAUAAUGGCAUUGAUGCCCGUGAGAACGGGGCACACACGUCGCAACAGCUGCAGGUUGCCCACUGUCACACAGCGUUUGGCACUUCUUCCCUGAAUAUAAAAGCAUAAAAAGAAAAAACAAGAAGAGAAGAAAAAAAAUAAGAAAACCUGUAUGUCAGUCACAGAAGAUAAUUUUUCUCCUAUACCAUGUGCUGCUACUUUCUUCAUUAGUCACCUGUAAGGAUCUAUCAGAAACCUUACUAAAAUCGACAUGCAGAGUAGAAGAAGUGUGAUGUGGAGAAUGAUGGGCCAAUACCUGCCCCUCACCAUGCUGUUGUAGGGUACAUUGGUACCUGUAAUGGUUCUUGUUCAUCAUGCCUAGUGUCUCAGUCAAGACACAGUGCAGCGACCAUUCAGAAAGGUAUAUCAUUGCUAACCUAUACUUCUUUCUUUCUUUCAACAAACCGGCCAUAUCCCACCAAGGAGGCAGGGUGGCCCAAAAAGAAAAACGAAAGUUUCUCUUUUUAAAUCUAGUAAUUUAUACAAGAGAAGGGGUUACUAGCCCCUUGCUCCCUGCAUGUUAGUCGCCUCUUACAACACACAUGGCUUAUGGAGAAAGAAUUCUGCUUCACUUCCCCAUGGAGAUAAGAGGAAAUGAACAAGAGCUAGAACUAUUAAGAAAACCCAGAUGGAUGUGUAUACAGUGGAGCCUCUACUUGUGAGUGCAUCCACGUGCUAGUUUUUCCAAAUACGAGCAGUCAAUGGGCUAAUUUUUUGCUUCCAUAAGCGAGCAGACCUCUAGGCAGGUUCCUUGACGCUGAUGAGGGGCUCUUGCUCUUGAUCUAGGGAAUUGUAUGUCAUUUGUUUGUUGGACUAUCUUAUUGAAACUUGGGCAAUGUAUGAUGGAAAGAUGCUUCUUAAUGUACACCAAAAAUGAAAGAAAUCUAAGCAUAAAUAAUGGAGUUCACUUCUCAGCAGUUAGCCACCCCUUAGCGGUAUUUUCGUAUGGUUUUUAUGGUCUCAUUAAAUAGAAUGGAAGAUAUAUUACAGAAAUAGAUAUGAUUUUGAUUGCUUUCUUGACGAAAAGUACCUUGAAAUUGAGCUCAACGUAGGAGAAACAUUUGAUUAUUUUGGCUAUGUUCAAGAGUAAACAAAUUAAGUUACUGUCAAUUCCAGUAUGCAGUCGUGAAUGGGUUGACAUUAUUUAUACAAUUAUUGCAAUAAGGCAUAACAGUAAAUCUUAUAUUUUUUGUGUGAAUAAAAAUUACAUAUUCUUUAUUUUCUAAUAAUAAUAAUACGUAAUAAUAGUAAUAGUAUAAUAUAAUACAAUAAUAAUAAUAAUACAGUGGACCCCCGCAUAACGAUUACCUCCGAAUGCGACCAAUUAUGUAAGUGCGUUUGUACGUGUAUGUUUGGGGGUCUGAAAUGGACUAAUCUACUUCACAAUAUUUCUUAUGGGAACAAAUUCGGUCAGUACUGGCACCUGAAUAUACUUCUGGAGUGAAAAAAUAUCGUUAACCGGGGGUCCACUGUACAUGUAUAAUAUUAAUGUACUACAUAAUAAUAAUUAUAAUAAUAGACGGCUUUAAAAGGCCGUCACUAGAUGGCAAUGUUUACCACAACCAAGAGGGAGCAGUUGUGGCCGCCUCCACCUGUUACAUAAUGACAUAUUUUAUUCAUUCUAGAGUAUAUAUCAGGUUUCUAUGUUAUUUAUAUUGUUUAUUAUUUCACAUUAGAUGAACUGUGAUAGAUAAAUAAGCCGCAGAGUUGAUAGUGAAAUAUUCAAGGAGUAUUUUGUCCUGUCUCCAGACAAACUGUUGUCGGCCACCGCCACAUAUAUACUAAUGACGUACAGUAUUUUAUUCAUUCUAGAAUAUAUAUCAGGUUUCUUUGUUAUUUAUAUUCACUGGGGGUAUGUUGCAUCACCUGCCAAGUCUUUUGCUUUUGUAGGGAGUGAUUUGUGUGUGCAGAUUAGGGACCAGUCCCUCAAGGAUCUUCCAGGUGUUGAUUAUGAUAUAUUGCUCUCACCUGCACUCCAGUGAGUACAAGUCAAGUGCUUCCAGGCGCUCCCAGUAGUUAAGGUGUUUGAUGGAACUUAUACGUGCAGUAAAGGUUCUCUGUACAUUCUCUAGAUCUGUAAUUUCAUCUGCCUUGAAUGAGGAUGUUAAUGUACAGCAGUAUUCCAGCCUAGAGAGAACAAGUGAUUUAAAAAGGUUCAUCAUUGGCUUGGCAUCUCUUGUCUUGAAUGUUCUCAUUAUCCAUAAUAUCAGUUUCCUUGCAGAUGUGAUAGUGGCACUGUUGUGAUCCUUGAAGGUGAGAUCCUCAAACAUUACCACUCCCAGGUCCCUCACAUUACUUUUCCACUUUAUUAUGUGAUUAGAGUGUGUAGUAUACUCAGUUCUAGCUGUUAUUUCUUCCAGUUUUCCAUAAUGGUUUAGUUGGAAUUUGUCUUCAUUGAACAUCAUAUUGUUCUCCAUUGCCCAUUGGAAAACUUGGUUUAUAUCUUCUUGGAGAUUUGCUGUGACCUCAAAGAAUAACACACUCAUGCAGAUCCUAGUAUCAUCUGCAAAGGAUGAUACAGUGCUAUGGUUUACAUCUCUGUCUAUGUCUGAUAUGAGAAUAAGGAACAGGAUACAGGCGAGUACCGUGCCUUGUGGAACAGAGCUCUUCACUAUGGCAGCUUCCGAUAUAACUCUGUUUACCACUACUCUUUGUGUUCGAUUGGAUAGAAAGUUGAAGAUCCAUCUGCCUACUUUGCCAGCUAUCCCUUUAGCACUCAUUUUGUGUGCUAUUACACCAUGAUUGCACUUGUCAAAGGCUUUUGCAAAAUCUGUGUAUACUACAUCUGCAUUCUGUUUGUUUUCCAGUGCAUCCAAGAACAUAUUAUAGUGGUCCACUAGUUGCAAGAGGCAGGAGCGACCUGCUCUGAACCCAUGUUGCCCUGGAUUGUAAAAUUUUUUUGGAGCCCAAGAGGUUUUCACUCCUGCCUCUUUCAAAUAUAUUUAUGAUGUGGGAUGUUAAAGCUAUUGGUCUGUAGUUCUUAGCUAUUGCUUUGCUGCCACCUUUAUGGAGUGGGGCUAUAUCUGUUGCUUUUAUUGACAGUGGAAUCUCACCUGUGUCUAUGCUCCUUCUCCAUAGCAUACUUAGGGCCCGUGAGGGGGGUUUCUUGUAGUCCUUAAUGAACAUAGUGUUCCACGAGUCUGGCAUGGGGCUGAGUGCAUGGGCAUGUUGUUGAUGGCUUUCUUAAAGUCAAGUGGAAUUAGGGUUAUGUCAGAAAUCUGGCAUAUAUUGGCAGGGUUUUGAGGCUCAUUCAUGAAAAAAUUGUCAUAUCUCACUCAUUUCUUUGCUGUCAUCUGUGUAGGAUCCAACUUGUCUGAGCCGGACCCCUAUACUAGAAGUGGUUUUAGCCUUGUUUUUGGCAUCGAAAAGAAAUAUUCGAAUUUCUUUCAAUUUCACUAAUCGCUUUUAGCUCCUCUUGCGUAUUGUGACUGCUUUUUGUUGUAGCUCUCAAGGAGAAGUUUAAGUAAAGGGUUUAUAUUGGAGCUUAAUGUUCUGUAUAUACUAUAGUAAGCACAAUAAUACGAGUGUAUGUCUUGUAUGUUUAGUAGGUUCAGGCUUUUGAAGAGUGGUGGGGUGUGUGUGGAACAGGAGCUGGUAAUCAUCUGUACAGCUGCCUUUUGUUGGGUUAUUAAAGGUUUGAGGUGGUUGGCUGGGGUUGAUCCCCAGGCACAAAUACCAUAGAUGAGGUAGGGAUAUAUUGAAGAGUGGUAUAAGGUAAGGAGUGUCAUUUGGGGUACAUAGUACCAUAUCUUGGAAAGGAUGCCUACUGAUUUGGAAAUUUUCUUGGAUAUAUUCUGGAUGUGGGAAUGAAAUUUAAGUUUACAGUCAAGGUAAAGACCUGGAAAUUUACCCUCGGUAUUUCUUGUAAUGUGGGGAACCAUUUAUCGAUAUAUUAAGUUGCAUAUUUAAGGCUGUUUCCAAACAGCAUGAAGUAUGUUUUCUCUGUGUUGAGAGCGAGUAUGUUGGUCAUCAUCUAAGUACGUAUAUAUUUUUAGCAGCUUGUUUACAGCGUUUAGAAAACCCAGCAAUACGCUGUAGAUAACAGAUGGGAAGUACAGUGCCUGCACUCUGAAGGAGGGGGUGGGUAUAUUUGCAGUUUUGAAUUUUAGUAUCAGUGCCCCUCUGGCAAAACAGUGAUAGAGUAAUGGUGAAAGUGCUUCUUCUUUCUUUUGGGCCAACCUGCCUUGGUGGGGAAACAACCAGUGUAUUAAAAAAUAAGACAUAGUGAAGUAGAUAUGAGGUUAACUCCUCAGCCUGGGUGUUCUGCUCCAUAACCAUGAUGAAUUGAUCAAAGCCAUAUAAUAGUACACUUCCUCUGUUUCUGUUUUCUACAGUAUUGACAUCACCUCUGUAUUUUGACUGAUGCAGCCUGUUGAGCAAGCAAAAUGUCUUCACAGUAUGUGUUUCACACUGUAAUAUUAAAACUAUCACUGUUAUAUUUAGCCAUAUAAGGAAAUUGGAGUUUUGUUCAUGGGAUGAAAGUCAAUGUAGGUGAUGGGGUUUUUUCCAAGGAAUAGGAGUUAUCCUUCCUUUUUAUAGAUCAAACCUAAUUAGCUCCCAUUCCUUCACUAUAUGACCCCCCUACAGGUUUAGAGCCUCUUUUAUUGUAAUAAUUCCUUAUAGAGAAGCACCAAACCUGUAAGGGUCACACAGCACCUGCUUUAAGAAAAAAUUAUUUUGAGACAAGUGUCUUGAUGGUUUUGAUUUAAAAUAUUUACCAAUGUUAGGUUAAUAAUGUCAUCCAGUUUUAUAAGAAAGUGUGUAUUAUGUGAAAAUUAUUCAUUAAUUUUAAUAAAUGUACAGUGGAACCUUCGUUUUCAUUUGCCCUGGUUUUCGAUACGUAAAACAUUGGGUAUCUUUAUUGUAGACGUUUUGCCAUCCAGUGGCUUUAUCAAUAUAAAUUCUAGGACCUACUGUCUUCAAAUUAUAUCCUAGAAUUUGUAUUAAAGGCACUGGAUGGUAAAACAUUUAUAAUAAAGAUACCCAGAUGUUGCAAAUGUCUUAAUUUGCAUCUUGUCUGUAUUCUAUAUGUUGUUAGGUA
Cherax quadricarinatus is the source of this 5141-nucleotide long non-coding RNA. RefSeq lists it as uncharacterized. Lineage: Eukaryota; Metazoa; Arthropoda; Malacostraca; Decapoda; Parastacidae. The record is from RefSeq and is a predicted model, not a curated record.